This is a long non-coding RNA of Cryptotermes secundus, 720 nucleotides long. RefSeq lists it as uncharacterized. The transcript has 3 exons. The record is from RefSeq and is a predicted model, not a curated record. NCBI's taxonomy places the organism in Eukaryota, Metazoa, Arthropoda, Insecta, Blattodea, Kalotermitidae.
AGGACGAAGAAAGAGCCGCUCUUGCGAGUUUUCUGCUGAUUUUGUUGACAGUCAUGGGAGUUGCUGGGAUUUUGGCUUUUAUCAAUGAGGCAUGUCGAGUGAUGCUCGCUGAUGGACGACUGAACGGUAAAAUGAAGAUCCUCCUUGAAGGAACUAACUAUUCGGUAUGUACGAUUGCAGAAUCAUCACAUUGUAUACUUUUAUCAAAUUGUCCAACUUAAAUGCAAUAAAUCUAUAUACUGUCCUCCUAUAGUUCAUGCAGUUAUUAUUAGCCUCUUUCUGUUGUUUUUCCUGCCAUCAUUAUUGUCGUUACUUUCAAUGUAAUCUUACUUUAAUGUAGCUGUGUAUUUCAGAAUGGUUUAGAAAUAUUUAUUUAUGGCUAAGUACAGAUCUAAACGUCUGCUCACAUUAAAACCAGACUGACUUCUCAUUUCAUAUGGCUGUGUUUAAAAGGUUAAUCAUGUUAGAUGUUGGCAGCUCUUUGUUUUGCACUAAUUUAAAUUAAGUAAAGGAAAAUUUAAUGUAUACAUAGUUCAUACGUGAACUCUCAAAGUCAGUACAACUGAUAGAAACAGGUACUUUGUGGGAUUGAUUGUCACGCAAAUGACACUGUAUCAAUUGCUGCGGAUGUGUGCCGUUGAUCGAGAUGAGAAGGCAAUAACGGAUUAUGAGUAGGUAAUUAGUUUAAAUGUUGUUGUCAUGGCCUUGUUGAAAGACAGA